This 491-nucleotide ribosomal RNA is filed under the name uncultured bacterium. RNAcentral's name for it is "partial 16S ribosomal RNA". It matches the Rfam family "Bacterial small subunit ribosomal RNA", at positions 29 to 506 of the family's 1533-position model. The record is from RNAcentral.
AGUGAACGCUGGCGGUAGGCCUAACACAUGCAAGUCGAACGGCGGCACAGUAAGAGCUUGCUCUUACGGGUGGCGAGUGGCGGACGGGUGAGGAAUACAUCGGAAUCUACUUUUUCGUGGGGGAUAACGUAGGGAAACUUACGCUAAUACCGCAUACGACCUACGGGUGAAAGCAGGGGAUCUUCGGACCUUGCGCGAUUGAAUGAGCCGAUGUCGGAUUAGCUAGUUGGCGGGGUAAAGGCCCACCAAGGCGACGAUCCGUAGCUGGUCUGAGAGGAUAAUCAGCCACACUGGAACUGAGACACGGUCCAGACUCCUACGGGAGGCAGCAGUGGGGAAUAUUGGACAAUGGGCGCAAGCCUGAUCCAGCCAUACCGCGUGGGUGAAGAAGGCCUUCGGGUUGUAAAGCCCUUUUGUUGGGAAAGAAAAGCAGCAGGUUAAUACCCCGCUGUUCUGACGGUACCCAAAGAAUAAGCACCGGCUAACUUCGU